AAUAGCUAUACCAUCGAAACUAUAUAACCUGAUUACAGCAAGGUUCUUCCAUGGAAUUUUGUCAAUUCUGAGAGAUAUUUAGAUAAAUCCCUUAAGUUAAAGAAUAUAACAUUUUUUACUUAAACAAGAGGGAUUUUAUCAAUAUAGCUCAAAAUUUGGAAAUAUUUGCUCUAGAAUAAAGGGCUGCCUAGAAGGGGUGAAGCAAAUUUCGAAUUCUUUAGAGAGCUACACUGCAGGCUAAAUAUUUAUCUGGUUUGGUCACGUGUUACAUAAAAGCAUGGCUUAAUCAAGGAUCGUUCAAUGAGUUCUACAAUGAAGAUACAAUUUUAAGAAAAGUAUUAAGAUAUUAAGACACGAUUGACUGAGUGAAAGACACGAUUUCUGUAGCAAGGCUUAUCAGAAAUCAAGUGCCUGAGAUAAAUAUUUUCUGAGGAAAUGUCUGUAGGAAAAUAAAGGUGAAAAAGAGAUACUUCACAGAGAGUAAAACUGGAAACAAAUUGGAAAAGAUUCUCUUGAAAUGCUGGAAAUAAAAUGCUUUUUAUUAGAAAGCGCAGUUGUUCCUCUGCUGUGUAAACAAAGUUGGUGAAGAUACGUCCUGUUAAACAUAUGAAACUCAAAAAAAGUCUACACGUCUGUCGAAGUCUUAUUAAUGAUGGCCUCAUAAAUAUCCUUUAAGUUGUUCAGAUUUGAUUAAAAUAAGCCAAGGAGAAUUAACUGUUGAAUAUCUACAGUAAAAAGAAGAUGAUGAAAUGUGUCAGUUAAACAUCUGCAGCAGAGUCAACUUGAAAUCAUUAGGAUUUCGGAUAUUUGUGUGUUACAGUAGAUUUGGAUAUGAAAGAUUCUACCACAUGUUGCUGAUGAACCGGUAUGAAAAAAGCUAUCAGAUGCCCACGCAAUCAUUUUCUCUUGCAUGCGCACUCUCUCUGCACAGCAAUGGCAUGCUUAAUUUCUAAAAAGAACCAAAAUAAUAUGACAUAAUAAUGCGAUAAUCUGCAUUAGCGUAUUAAGUCUCUUCUUCGAAAUAUCCUGAUUUCUCAAAUAAAAACAUUUUAAAGAACAUUUUUUGCCAUGCAAAUCAGUGAUAACAUCAUCUACCAGAAAAAAAUAGUUUGCCAGAAAAAAUAGUUUUGUACAAUGUUACACAUAUUUUCUAAUGCAAGUAUUUUGAUGAACUUUAUUGUUUUAUUUUUAUAUUAUGUUUAAUUACAGAUAAAUUUAAAAUGCUGUUGUAAAUUAAGGCAGUUCUAAGAAAAAAUACUAAAGAAUAAAUUGCUGCUUCUAGUUUAAGGAAUUUUAUUAAUAGAAUCAGAAAGUACUUUACAUGUAUCCCUGUUAUGAAAUUUCACUUGUACCCCUGUUAUGAAAUGUUUCAUCGUUGCAUUAAAUAAAUAUUAGA
RNAcentral lists this long non-coding RNA (1396 nucleotides) under Stegodyphus dumicola. RNAcentral's name for it is "uncharacterized LOC118191350, transcript variant X1". Lineage: Eukaryota; Metazoa; Arthropoda; Arachnida; Araneae; Eresidae. The record is from RNAcentral.